RNAcentral lists this small RNA (1825 nucleotides) under Pongo abelii (Sumatran orangutan). RNAcentral's name for it is "retained intron". The record is from RNAcentral. Lineage: Eukaryota; Metazoa; Chordata; Mammalia; Primates; Hominidae.
ACUCUUUGACCUGGCCUCGGUAUCCUCACAUUUAAAAUGGGGAGUUGGCUUAUAUGAUUGGCUGGCAUAUUUGGCUCAGCUCAAAGACUGUCUAUUAUAGAAGGGCAAAUGGUAGUGCCUCAUUGCAGGCAUGGAGCCUUUGACUUGAGGACAUCGGCAGAAACUAGAUGAUCAGACCAAGCCCGGGAGCUUGUCCUUUUCCGAGCGGCUCAGUGAACUGGAGCAGCUGCGGCGCACAGCCAUGAGGGUCAGCCCACACCACCCAGCCCCACGCCCAACCCUCGUGCCUCCCUGAACCACUCCACUGCCUUUAACCCUCAGCCUCAGAGUCAGAUGCAGGGUAAGUACCAGACGGAGCCCACUGCCCGCCUCUCCUGCACCUGGGCCACCACCCACAGCUGGACCCCAUGUGCACAUACCCUCUCAGACCAACUGGGGUUUCCCCUUAAUGCUCAGAGAAAGGCCUCGAACCAACAGCACCACCUGGGAGCUGUUGGAAAUGCAGAGUCUUGGGCCCCAGCCCAGACCCACCGAGUCAGAUCUGCAUUGUAACCAGAUCCCCACAAGGAAAAGCACUGCUACAGAGGAUACGAGGAGCUCUGGGUAUAGAUAUCCAUAUUGGAUAGAUAGCUCUCUUGAAUUUUUUAAGAGUUAGCUUUGGCUAUGCUGUUUUUUUACCUACCCAUUAGGCUUGAAGACACACACACAGACACACACACACACCACACACACACACACACACACACACACACACACACACACACACGUCAAGCAAAGUGAAGAUGGGAAUGUUUCAAGUUCUCGCUAUUGCCAGAUUAUUUGUGGGUUUUGUAUCUAGUGGUUUUUUUUUAUUAUUAAGAAAUAGUAGAAAUGUAUGGAUGCCAUCACAUCAAGGGUGUUAUUUGCAAAUCAAUAUAGAAUGCAGGUCCCCCCAUCCCAUGGGGCUAGCUGGCAAUUACUAAAGCGCUGUAAGAUGCAAUAAUUGCCUAAGGCCCACUGUGCCAAAUUAGAUAAUACAAGAAGUUCAUUUACACUGUAGAACCAGUGACGUCAAUGACUGUUUGCUCUGUGAUACCGUUUCAAAAAUCCAAAAUGCAGACUUUUCUCUGUGCCAUGCAGGAUGCAGCUGUGUGUGAUAUGGUUUACAGUAAUAUUUCUUUCUCAAAGUAGCAGGCUUGUUAAGGAAAAGAUAAGCAACACAUCUCGGGAAAAGGGCAGGUGGCCAGCAAUCGAUGUGGUAGCUCUUUGCCCCUCUCGGACAGCAGGAAUUAGCUUCCCCAGGCAUUUUCUGUAUGUGAGUUGUAUUGUGGGAUGUACGAAUAUCAUCUGUUCCUUUGGGUUUCCAGCCCAGUAGCUCUCUAUUUUGGGUUCAAACAUGGGUUCUCAGGCUGGGCGCGGUGGCUCACGCCUGUAAUCCCAGCACUUUGGGAGGCCGAGGCAGGCGGAUCACGAGGUCAGGAGAUGGAGAGCAUCCUCGCUAACACGGUGAAACCCCAUCUCUACUAAAAAUACAAAAGAUUAGCCAGGCGUGGUGGCGGGUGCCUGUAGUCCCAGCUACUCAGGAGGCUGAGGCAGGAGAAUGGUGUGAACCUGGGAGGCAGAGGUUGCAGUGAGCUGAGAUCACACCAGUGCACUCCAGCCUGGGCGACAGAGCGAGACUCCAUCUCAAUAAAAAAACAAACCAAAAAAAAACAUGGGUUCUCAAAAGGCAUGCCCACUGUCUCCCUUGGAGCUUGACAGCCCAUGCCAUUAGCUCUCACUGUUAGGUUUCUGGGGAAGGUUCUUCUACUUGAUUGGAAAAUUUCCAAAUAAGUCUUUCCAGAAG